CACGUAGGAGGCGAGCGUUGUCCGGAAUCAUUGGGCGUAAAGAGCGCGCAGGCGGCUUGGCAAGUCGGGUGUGAAAUCCCGGGGCUCAACCCCGUGACUGCAUUCGAUACUGUCAGGCUAGAGGUAGGUAGGGGAGAUCGGAAUUCCAGGUGUAGCGGUGAAAUGCGUAGAUAUCUGGAGGAACACCGGUGGCGAAGGCGGCGUCCUGGACCAACACUGACACUGAUGAGCGAAAGCCAGGGGAGCAAACGGG
This 253-nucleotide ribosomal RNA is filed under the name uncultured bacterium. RNAcentral describes it as "partial 16S ribosomal RNA". It matches the Rfam family "Bacterial small subunit ribosomal RNA", at positions 524 to 776 of the family's 1533-position model. The record is from RNAcentral.